UUGAAAAAUCGGUUCCCGUACGAUCACCUAAAUUAAACAACUUCGAGCCUCGACAGUACCUCGGUGGGUGACCGCUUGAGAAUACCGGGUGGGGCA
Molecule: non-coding RNA, 96 nt
Organism: Acanthosepion pharaonis
Lineage: Eukaryota; Metazoa; Mollusca; Cephalopoda; Sepiida; Sepiidae
Source: the annotation of a GenBank genome assembly